AGUGAACGCUGGCGGUAGGCCUAACACAUGCAAGUCGAGCGGCAGCACAGUAAGAGCUUGCUCUUACGGGUGGCGAGUGGCGGACGGGUGAGGAAUACAUCGGAAUCUACUUUUUCGUGGGGGAUAACGUAGGGAAACUUACGCUAAUACCGCAUACGACCUACGGGUGAAAGCAGGGGAUCUUCGGACCUUGCGCGAUUGAAUGAGCCGAUGUCGGAUUCGCUAGUUGGCGGGGUAAAGGCCCACCAAGGCGACGAUCCGUAGCUGGUCUGAGAGGAUGAUCAGCCACACUGGAACUGAGACACGGUCCAGACUCCUACGGGAGGCAGCAGUGGGGAAUAUUGGACAAUGGGCGCAAGCCUGAUCCAGCCAUACCGCGUGGGUGAAGAAGGCCUUCGGGUUGUAAAGCCCUUUUGUUGGGAAAGAAAAGCAGCAGGUUAAUACCCCGCUGUUCUGACGGUACCCAAAGAAUAAGCACCGGCUAACUUCGUG
This 492-nucleotide ribosomal RNA is filed under the name uncultured bacterium. RNAcentral describes it as "partial 16S ribosomal RNA". It matches the Rfam family "Bacterial small subunit ribosomal RNA", at positions 29 to 507 of the family's 1533-position model. The record is from RNAcentral.